This is a long non-coding RNA of Oncorhynchus tshawytscha (Chinook salmon), 365 nucleotides long. The record is from Ensembl. Lineage: Eukaryota; Metazoa; Chordata; Actinopteri; Salmoniformes; Salmonidae.
AGUAGAUACUAUAGUAGAUAAUAUAGUAGAUACUAUAGUAGAUAAUAUAAUAGAUAAUAAAGUAGAUACUAUAGUAGAUAAUAUAGUAGAUAAUAAGGUAGAUACUAUAGUAGAUAAUAAGGUAGAUAAUAUAGUAGAUAAUAAGGUAGAUACUAUAGUAGAUAAUAAGGUAGAUAAUAUAGUAGAUAAUAAGGUAGAUAAUAUAGUAGAUAAUAUAGUAGAUACUAUAGUAGAUAAUAUAGUAGAUAAUAAGGUAGAUACUAUAGUAGAUAAUAAGGUAGAUACUAUAGUAGAUAAUAUAGUAGAUACUAUAGUAGAUAAUAAGGUAGAUACUAUAGUAGAUAAUAUAGUAGAUAAUAUAGUAG